UUUUAAAGAGAGUUUGAUCCUGGCUCAGGACGAACGCUGGCGGCGUGCCUAAUACAUGCAAGUCGAACGAACGGAGGAAGAGCUUGCUCUUCCAAUGUUAGUGG
Molecule: ribosomal RNA, 104 nt
Filed under: Listeria monocytogenes
Lineage: Bacteria; Bacillati; Bacillota; Bacilli; Caryophanales; Listeriaceae
Description: partial 16S ribosomal RNA
Rfam family: Bacterial small subunit ribosomal RNA
Source: RNAcentral